RNAcentral lists this ribosomal RNA (565 nucleotides) under Bifidobacterium animalis subsp. lactis. Its description in RNAcentral is "bacterial SSU rRNA". It matches the Rfam family "Bacterial small subunit ribosomal RNA", at positions 146 to 711 of the family's 1533-position model. The record is from RNAcentral. Lineage: Bacteria; Bacillati; Actinomycetota; Actinomycetes; Bifidobacteriales; Bifidobacteriaceae.
UCUCCUGGAAAACGGGUGGUAAUACCGGAUGCUCCGCUCCAUCGCAUGGUGGGGUGGGAAAUGCUUUUGCGGCAUGGGAUGGGGUCGCGUCCUAUCAGCUUGUUGGCGGGGUGAUGGCCCACCAAGGCGUUGACGGGUAGCCGGCCUGAGAGGGUGACCGGCCACAUUGGGACUGAGAUACGGCCCAGACUCCUACGGGAGGCAGCAGUGGGGAAUAUUGCACAAUGGGCGCAAGCCUGAUGCAGCGACGCCGCGUGCGGGAUGGAGGCCUUCGGGUUGUAAACCGCUUUUGUUCAAGGGCAAGGCACGGUUUCGGCCGUGUUGAGUGGAUUGUUCGAAUAAGCACCGGCUAACUACGUGCCAGCAGCCGCGGUAAUACGUAGGGUGCGAGCGUUAUCCGGAUUUAUUGGGCGUAAAGGGCUCGUAGGCGGUUCGUCGCGUCCGGUGUGAAAGUCCAUCGCCUAACGGUGGAUCUGCGCCGGGUACGGGCGGGCUGGAGUGCGGUAGGGGAGACUGGAAUUCCCGGUGUAACGGUGGAAUGUGUAGAUAUCGGAAAGAAACACCA